UAGUGGCGAACGGGUGAGUAACACGUGGGCAAUCUGCCCUUCACUCUGGGACAAGCCCUGGAAACGGGGUCUAAUACCGGAUACGACUGCGGGAGGCAUCUCCUGUGGUGGAAAGCUCCGGCGGUGAAGGAUGAGCCCGCGGCCUAUCAGCUUGUUGGUGGGGUAAUGGCCUACCAAGGCGACGACGGGUAGCCGGCCUGAGAGGGCGACCGGCCACACUGGGACUGAGACACGGCCCAGACUCCUACGGGAGGCAGCAGUGGGGAAUAUUGCACAAUGGGCGAAAGCCUGAUGCAGCGACGCCGCGUGAGGGAUGACGGCCUUCGGGUUGUAAACCUCUUUCAGCAGGGAAGAAGCGAAAGUGACGGUACCUGCAGAAGAAGCGCCGGCUAACUACGUGCCAGCAGCCGCGGUAAUACGUAGGGCGCAAGCGUUGUCCGGAAUUAUUGGGCGUAAAGAGCUCGUAGGCGGCUUGUCACGUCGGAUGUGAAAGCCCGAGGCUUAACCUCGGGUCUGCAUUCGAUACGGGCUAGCUAGAGUGUGGUAGGGGAGAUCGGAAUUCCU
RNAcentral lists this ribosomal RNA (564 nucleotides) under Streptomyces sp. 384G12. RNAcentral's name for it is "bacterial SSU rRNA". It matches the Rfam family "Bacterial small subunit ribosomal RNA", at positions 93 to 671 of the family's 1533-position model. The record is from RNAcentral. Lineage: Bacteria; Bacillati; Actinomycetota; Actinomycetes; Kitasatosporales; Streptomycetaceae.